Small nuclear RNA from Mesocricetus auratus (golden hamster), 102 nucleotides. Lineage: Eukaryota; Metazoa; Chordata; Mammalia; Rodentia; Cricetidae. The record is from Ensembl.
AUGCUUACUUCAGCAGCACAUAUACUAAAAUUGGAAUGGUACAGAGAAGAUUAACAUAGUUCCUGCACAAGGAAAGGGAGUGGAAAGUCACAAACUUUUUUU